This 9787-nucleotide long non-coding RNA is filed under the name Homo sapiens (human). RNAcentral's name for it is "non-protein coding lnc-NXPH1-2:13". The record is from RNAcentral. Lineage: Eukaryota; Metazoa; Chordata; Mammalia; Primates; Hominidae.
AAACGGGCGCGCCAGGGUUUGCUGGAACCGGGGUUGCUUAGGGGUUCUCGCCCCGUCUAGUCCGAGACUGCUGAGCACCUCGCCCCCGGGGGACCAAGCUCAGGCCUCCUGGCACUAGUGGUUAUAAAGAGGUACCCAUAUGCUCUCUGCCGCCCCUGCCAAAAAAAGGGCCACGGAGGGGAAGAGAAAAAGCACACACCAGGCGCCGCGGCAGGUGAACUUGUCAACAAGUCAACCCUGGACGCAAGUCCCUGCCCACCAGGGAGCUCGGGGUCCUGGGGCCGGAGCCGCCGGGAAGGCGAGGCGCGCGGUGGGUGGGUGGGGUGGGCUGGCAUGGGUGCCGGUGCUCCCAGCGCUGGGGCCGGAGCGCGGAACGCUUCCCUACCGCUCCCCCGGGGCUGACGCACGCUCUCACGGCGCGCGCAUCCUCCAGACCUUCCCAGGCCGGAGGGAGGAGGGGAGGGGAAGGGGCUGAUGCGGUUCCCGCACCGGGAUCCGGGACCCGAGGAGGCGACUCGCCUAUCACGCGCCGCCCGCGGAGGGCAGAGAAGGCAGCUCCUACCAGGCGUCCCCGACCGUCCCGGCUGCCGGGCGUCUCCUGCUGCUUCCUGCAGCCCGCCCGGCGCGCCCCCGCCCCGACCCCGGAGGGCAGGUACCUCGGAGCCCCGGCCCCCAGGAGCCUCCCGGCCGCGGUCGGAGCGUCCCUCCGGAUCACUCAUCCGACGUCAGCGUCAGCCGAAGGCGAGGGAAAGGGGCGGGGGGAGCGCAGGAACCGGCCCUUCCUGCGGCGGCCGCCACCAGCCGGAAUAGCAACCGGCGGAGCCCGUGCGCACCGCAGCGCAGCGCAGCGGCCGGGGGGUGCGGGCGCCCUCGCCGCCCGGCUACCUACCGCCGCCUGGGCGCCGCCGCUGCCUCCCUUCCCCGCUUCUACCCUCCAGCAGACGCCCGCCGGAGCGACCCCUCCCAGGGUGUUCCACGUGGCCAUAGCGUUUGCGUCACAAUGACCUGGCGGACAGGUGGGAGCCACAGCGUACACCCCAGGGUUCCCUCUGUGCUGUGCGUAGUGCCUACUGCUUGCUUCCAGGUUAAAUUUCUGUAGCUUUAGAGGACAGGAGACUUCAUGACUUCACUGCCAAGAAAAGUUACAGAGGCCUGCUGUACCUGGAAAUCAAGUUUGAGCUUCGAGAAUAAAGGUCAUGUUUUAAAAACAGCUGUGUAUGUAUAGAACACCAGUAAGGUGCUAGUGAGAACCCGAAACAGUUUCUAAGGAGAAUGGCUAUUGAAUGAUGGGAUCAGAAAUUAGGAGAGAAAUAAGGACCCUGGGCCAGGGAAAGAAAUGAAUGAAGAUGCCACCUUAUGCCCAGAACACAUCUCUCAUUCAAUGAUAAAGGAUUUGUGGUUGGGUCAACUUUUGUGAUGCUCAACUCUUUCCUUCGUAAGGACGGGCUCUUUCUCAGGAGGCUUUUGUACUCCCAAUUAACGCACUGCUAAUCUGAUGAAGCUCUAUUUUGUAGCUAUGCCAUCUGGAUCACAUAGCCUCCAAGGCCAGCAGAGCAGAGGAAGACAAAGAGCAGAGCAAGAUAGAGGUGGAAGUUACACGUCCUUUGUGCUUACUUUCUACUGGCCUCAUCGGGUCGCAAGAUCCCACUCUGAUAGGUGCAUGGGGGCUUGGAAAAUUAGAAAAACAUGUGAAUAUUUGGUAGGCACUUACAAUCUCUGCCAGCAUCUGCCCUUCUAAUCAGCAAAUUUUCAAUUACUUUUUUCUUCACCCACAUAAGACAUCUUAAUCCAACCUCAGGGGACACAUCCUGAUGUCCAAUCUAGUCACUACUUCAAGCUUAAUGGGAUACAUGGGCCUCUCUGUCAUGUCUGCAUGAGGCUCUUCUUGAUCAGUUGACCUAUGAACUGAAAGAAAGCAUAUAUCGUUGUCCUCCACUGUCUAUAUCACUGCAUACAGAGUGGUGGAAAGGAACAGAAUAACGAUGGUAUACAUUCCUAUUUGAAAGGGGAUGAUUAGAGACACAAAACAAUGAUAACAUCUCACUGGUCAGACAUGGUGAAAGUUCCCCUGUGCAGGGGAUGGUAAAUGUUCCUUAAUUAGGCCUUGGUUCUGGUCCUCGAGAGGCAUUCUUUUAUCCAUUGUCCUCUAUGGCUGUAAUCUGUGCCCUCCAAGAUAUUCUUUCUUUUCCAUUACUCUCUGAAGUGGUUGAGGGGGAAUACGUCUUCCUUUGGGGCUGCACGGUUUUCUCAGCAAACUUCUUUCCCACAGAACAUUGGCAGCUUAAGGGUUAUAAGUCUCAAAAUGUCAGUGGCUUUUUUUAGUCCAGGCUCAUGAUUUAUUUAACAAUGCAUUUCCCUCAAACACACAGUAGGCUUCUGAUCUAUUUGCUUUAAAUAACUUUCAUGUGGUAGUAACCACACCUAAAGUUCUUUUCUAGGCAUAAUUCUAAAAUCUGCUUUGUUUCGUUGCUUUCUCACUUCUGUGCAUUUCUCUCUCUUCUAUAUGGGGGCUGUGUUGAAGAUGUCUGACUAAGAGGUAGAAAGUUCACACACUUAAUCUGUUUACACUCUUAAUUGAUUCUCAUCCUAAGUCAUUUCAUCCAAUGGGGACAUUUCACUGUGAUUUUGUGGCAGUCUUUUGAGAUGCCAAGUCUUCCUGUUUAGAGCCUAGAAGUAGUCACUGUUCCAACUUAGAAACUUCCAAAUUUCUGAACGAUUUUUAUUCCUUUCAUUUCUGUUUGCAAGCCAGCCAGGGUUUUCCUGAGCUUAUUUCAUUAUUGUAAUCCUCUGCCAAAUACAGCCAACAUUCACUUUCAACAUUGUUUCCCUAAGUCGUUGGACUCAGAAGCCCCACAGUCUGCCUCCCAAAUUACCACAGGAUUUUAAUUUUUGCCAAAUGGUUUCCUACUGCUUAAAAUGGAUUGCCAUUUUUUCCAGCCUCUAACAUUGGAUUCUUCACUGCCCUCUGCCUAAUUACUAAGUCAUUGCUACACGUUUCAGGUUUCUUUGUGUUGGCCUCUUAUCACUGAUAAAAAUUCUGAAUUUGUUAGGAUAGGCUAGACUAUGCUGUGAAAACAAAUAUCCCCAUUUCAAUUCACUUGCUGAACAAAAUGAAGUUAUCUUUUUUGUUCACACAAAAUCUCCAGGUUCCCGUCUGAUUUCACUUUGGGCUGUGGUUGUGAGUAUUGGAGAAGUAUAAAUUGUGGGGCAAAUGGAAAGGAAGUUCAAGGUGACAUUUUGCUUAGCAAACUCGAAGUGUAUGUUGGUAUUAUUGCUUAGGUAUGGUAUAUUUAUUUGUAUGUUUACAUAGUGUGACUGCCUAAUGGCAUUAAAAAAAUCUAUAGUGCAUGGUUCACUGUUUUCCCUUCGCUGAGAAGAGCAAUGAGUAAGAAUAGAAAUAGGAAUAUAUUUUAUCUGAUGAACCAGGGUGAAAAUUAGCAAAAAAUUUGUGACAGUGGAUAUAUAAAAUAAAAUUUCCCCUUAAGUUAUAUAAUCAUGUUUACACUUUUUGCAUAUGUAACUAAAUGAAUGUAUACUUUCUUCUAGUGGCUUACUGGUAGAAAAUAAACACAGAUGUUUUUGUUUUAUAUUUUACAGCAAUGCUUUCAGUAACCUGGAGAGGUACACAUGGCUGGUAUAACAAUUAUCUUCAUUUAAUGAUGUGGAAACACCUACCACAAGUCCUGGCACAUUGAGGGUCUUGAAUAAAUUCUGUCAGAUGAACGGACAAGCGCACAAAAGGUUGAAAGAGUGAAUGAGGCAGGUUAAAUGACCAGUUCUAGAUUUGUUACUAAGUGACACAGCCUAACUGAGUUUUCUAAUGUUCCACUAACCCUGCUUCCAAGCAGCUUCAGAAUGCAGCUUACAUUUCUGCUAUAAAUAUUUUCUUUAGACUUUUGCUGAUGAAUUGAAGUUUCAUAACAAGAAGAAAGCAGAUGGCUUUUGGGAGGGGUUUAUACUUGCUCUUUUAACUGUGUUUCUGUUUUGCUUGUUUAUGCAGAGUGUGCACAAAGGUUGCCAGAGCCUUAAUUUCAAACUGCAUCAUUUAAUAAAAUACAAUAAGGAGAAUUAAGAAAGAAGGCUGCAGGGGAACAUCCUGCUUAUUAUCUCUGUAAUGAGAGGACUAUUUUUUCUCCCAUCAGUUGCCAAUGAUGAGGUUUUUUGUUUCCUUUUGUGCAGGCACAAUUGUGAUAUUCAACGAGAGUAGUGCGAAGUGCCACUUUACAGCCAAACAUUCAAUUCCUCCUAAUUCACAAGGGAGAGAGGGAUCAAGUUGUGCAGCUGGGAGGUGAUGUUUCUUCCCAGCAGCUGUCAUUGAGGAGACACGUGCAAACCAUAGAAGUCAUUUGUCACAAGAACCCCAUCCAGAAUUUGCUAUGUGCGUCUCACUUGCUAACGUGACAUGAAAUACUGAAGCUUUCAAAAAUCAAGUACAGAGACUUUGUUGUGUUGACAUGGGCAAAAUGAAAUGAAGAGCUGAGGCAAUUAUGUGGAUAAAUCAGGCCAAAAAUAUCCAACCAUUGAGAGGAAAAAGUUCCUUUGGCUCAAAUUAUUCAGAGUGACUGUCCAUGUUCAUCAAUUUAUCAGGAUAAUGAAUUUUAUCCUAUACUUUACUUUGUCACUAUAGAUAUAUCUUUAGUCUAUGAAUUUGAAUGACUUUGUGAUAUUUUACUUCACUGAAAAUUAUAAUAGGGGUUGAAUGAGCAAGCACCGUGUUAAAAGAUUGCUACUGCAGCUAUGAUAAUAGUCCAGGAGAUUUUAAACCCCGUUAUUCAAUAGCUAGCAGACAUAGUUAUUGGAAUGGGGGUAGAGAGGGAGACACGAAAUCUGUUGAGAAUCAAAUGCUUGUAACUAAUCUGUCUUUCCCAUUUAGCAUCCUAUUAUCCAAAAAUAUCUUGGUCUGUAGCUCCCACCUGGUUUCCUGGUCAUUUGACUACUGGUUAAAUGAGCCUGAAAAUUUCAUCAGGUUUCAUAUAAAGAAUAAUAUAUUAUAGUUACAUACAUAUAAAUGUAUAUCUUUGUGUAUUUUUAAUAUCCCUUAUUUAUCUACAAAGAGAUGAAUGUUUGAAAUAUGUGACGGAUAAGCAAGGUCAAUUCUUGUGUCUGCUCAUGCAUUGGCAUUGAGCUUUCUGCUUGGAGUCCUUAGCAUAUUCCGCACUUGAGCCAUCCUUCUUGUUUCUUCAUACUUCCAGAGCCACUAGAAUCACAGGCAAAAGGGCAGGAGCUUCUCCUUGGGGCAGAGGGAGAACCUCUGAGCAUUACCCUGGGUGGUUUGGUCCUGCCAGAGUCUCUUAAACAUUAGAGACAACUCACCAUUUGGAAGUUACAAAUCAUGAAAGUGCUCACUGAAGCAAAAUAAUACCACAUAAGAAAUAAAUGCCUAAUGUUGAUGAACAUUUUAAUCUUUAUUAUAAAAUUAUAACACAAAGAAGAAUCCUGAAGAAUGACCCUAAAGCUUUUGUCACAAUAGCAUUGUAAUGGAAAUACAGGUGUGUUUUCUUUUCUUUCUUUUUUCCUUUUUUGAGACAGGGUCUUGCUUUGUCACCCAGGGUGGUGUGCAGUGGAGCUAUCAUGGCUCACUGUAGCCUCGACCUCCUGGGCUCAAGCAAUCCUCCCACCUCAGCCUAUUGGGCAGCUGGGACUACAGGCAUGCAUAACCACAUCCAGCUAAUUUUUUGUAGAGAUGGGGUUUCUCCAUGUAUUGCCCAGGCUGGUCUCGAACUCCUUGGCUCAAGUGAUUCUCCCACCUUAGCCUCCCAAAGUGCUGGGAUUACAAGCAUGAGCCACCACACCUGGCCUAUGUGUGUUUUAUGAUUAAAAAAGAAAUACAUACAAUUAUUGGGACAGAACAAAAUAAAGAGAAAAAUACAAAUUACCUGUAAUUCAACUAUCCAGAGAUAAUUAUUUUUUACGGACUGAAUGAUGUUCUCCAAAAUUCAUAUGUUGAAGCCCUAGCCCCUAAUGUGAUUAAUAUGGUUUGGCUGUGUCCCCACCCAAAUCUCAUCUUGAAUUGUAACUCCCACAAUUCCCAUGUGUUGUGGGAAGAAACUAAUGGGAGGUAAUUGAAUCAUGGGGACGGGUCUUUCCCAUGCUGUUCUUAUGAUAGUGAAUAAGUCUCACGAGAUCUGAUGGCUUUAAAAAAUGGGAGUUUUCCUGUAUAAGCUCUCCCUCUCUUUGCCUGCUGCCAUCCAUGUAAGACAUGACUUUUUCCUCCUUGCCUUCCACCAUGAUUGUGAGGCCUCGCCAGCCAUGUGGAACUGUAAGUCCAUUAAAUGUCUUUCUUUUGUAAGUUGCCCAGUCUCAGGUAUGUCUUUAUCAGCAGUGUGAAAAUGAACUAAUACAGUAAAUUGGUACCAGUAGAGUGGGUUGCUGCUGUAAAUACCCGAAAAUGUGAAAACGACUUUGGAACUGGGUAACAGGCAGGGGUUGGAACAGUUUGGAGGGCUCAGAAGAAGACAGGAAAACGUGGGACAGUUUGGAACUUCCUAGAGACUUGUUGAAUGACUUUGCCCAAAAUGCUGAUAGUGAUAUAGACAAUGAAGUCCAGCCUGAGGUGGCUUCAGAUGGAGAUGAGGAACUUCUUGGGAACUGGAGCAAAGGUGACUCUUGUUAUGUUUAGCAGCAUUUUGCCCCUGGGCAUUUUGCCCCCAUCCUAGAGCUUUGUGGAACUUUGAACUCGAGAGAGAUAAUUUUGGGUAUCUGGCAGAAGAAAUUUCUAAGCAGCAAAGCAUUCCAGAGGUGACCUGGUUCACCACUUGGGUGCUGUUAAAGGCAUUCAGUUUCAAAAGGGAAAUGGAGAAUAAAAGUUCAGAAAACUUGCAGCCUGACAAUGUGAUAGAAAAGAAAAUCCCAUUUUCUGAGGAGAAAUUCAAGCUGGCUGCAGAAAUUUGCAUAAGUAAUGAGGAGCCAAAUGUUAAUCCCCAAGACAAUGGGGAAAAUGUCUCAAGGGCAUGUCAGAGGUCUUCACAGCAGCCCCUCUCAUCACAGGCCCAGAGGCCAAGGAGGAAAAAGUGGUUUUGUGGGCUGGGCCCAGGGUGCCUCGCUGUGUGCAGUCUAGGGACUUGGUGUCCUGCAUCCCAGCUGCUCCAGCCAUGACUAAAGGGGCCAAGGUACAGCUCAGAUUGUUGCUUCAGAGGGUACAAGCCCCCAGCCUUGGCAUCUUCCAUGUGGUGUUGAGCCUGUGUGUGCACAGAAGUCAAGAAUUGAAGUUUGGGAACCUCUGCCUAGAUUUCAGAGGAUGUAUGGAAAUGCCUGGAUGCCCAGGCAGAAGUUUGCUGCAGGGGCAGGGCUCUCAUGGAGAACCCCUAUGAGGGCAAUGCAAAAGGGAAAUGUGGGGUUGGAGUCCCCACACAGAUCUCUACUGAGACACCACCUAGUGGAGCUGUGAGAAGAGGGUCAUCACUAUCCUCCAGAACCCAGAAUGCUAGAUCCACCAACAGCUUACACUGUUUGCCUGAAAAAGCCACAGACACUCAAUGCCAGCCUGUUAAAGCAGCUGGGAGGGAGUCUGUACCCUUCAAAGCCUGGAUGUGAGACAUCGAGUUAAAGGAGAUCAUUUGGAGCUUUAAGAUUUGACUACCCCACAGGAUUUCAGACUUGCAUGGGGCUUGUAGCCCCUUUGUUUUAGCCAAUUUCUCUCAUUUGGAAUGGCUGUAUUUACCCAAUGCCUGAACCCCCACUGUAUCUAGGAAGUAACUAAUUUGCUUUUGAUUUUAUAGGCUCAUAGGCUGAAGGGACUUGCUUUGUCUGAGACUGUGGACUUUUGAGUUAAUGCUGAAAUGAGUUAUGACUUUGGAGGAAUAUUAGAAAGGCGUGAUUGGAUUUGAAAUGUGAGGACAUGAGAUUUGGAAGGGGCCAGGGGUGGAAUGAUAUGGUUUGGCUGUGUCCCCACCCAAAUCUCAUCUCUAAUUGUAACUUCCACAAUUCCCAUGUAUGAUGAGAGGAAACAGUGGGAGGUAAUUGAAUCACAGGGACGGGUCUUUCCCAUAUUGUUCUUGUGAUAGUGAAUAAGUCUCAUGAGCUCUGAAGGCUUUACAAAUGAGAGUUUCCCUUCACAAGCCCUCUCUCUCCCUCUCUUUGCCUGCUGCCAUCCAUGUAAGACAUGAUUUGUUCCUCCUUGUCUUCCACCAUGAUUGUGAGGCUCCCCAGCCAUGUGGAAGUGUAAGUCCAAUUAAACCUCUUUCUUUUGUAAAUUGCCCAGUCUUGGGUAUGUCUUUAUCAGCAGCAUGAAAACGGACUAAUACAGUGAUAGUAUUUGAAAAGGGGCCUUUGGGAGGUAAACAAGGUUAAACAAGGUCAUGAGGACCCUAAUCCAAUAGGAUUUGUGCCCUUAUGAAAACAGGGAGAGACAAACCAGAGCUCAUUGGCUAUCUCUUCCAUGUUGGGACACACAAAGAAGAUGGCCAUCUCCAAGACAGAAAUGUGAUCAUGCUGGCACCUUGACCCUGAACUUCUAGCCUUUGGAACUGUGAAAAUAAAUUUGUUUUUUACGCCACCCAGUCUAUGGUAUUUUGUUAUGGUAGUCCAAGCUGACUAACACACCACUGUUAAUAUUUUUACAUCCUUUUAUAUUUUAAUAUUAUUCUAUACUAAAAUAUAUAUCUAUCCAUCAACCCAUCCAUCCUUACGUACCUAUAAAGAUGGUGCUAUACGCAAUGGUUUACAUCAGCACUGUAUGAUAGACAUAUAUUGUGAAUCACAUACAUUAAUCACAUACAUUUAAAAUUUUUUUAGUGGCCUCUUUGGAAACAGAAAAAAUGAAAAUAUGAAAUUAAUUUUAGUAAUAUUUUAAAUUUAACCCAACAUAGCCAGAAAAUUGUCAUUUCAACAUGUAAUUAUUUAAAAAUUAUUCUUCAGGCCAGGCAUGGCGGCUCACUCCUGUAAUCACACUUUGGGAGGCCAAGGUGGGAGAACUGCUUGAGGCCAGGAGUUCAAGAUCAGCCUGGGCAACAUAGCAAGACCUUGUGUCUACUAAAAAUAAAAAAAAAUUAGCUGGGCAUGAUGGUGCAUGCCUGUAGUCUCAGCUACUCAGGAGGCUGAAGUGGGAGGAUAACUUGAGCCCAGGAAUUUGAGGCUGCAAUCCUGGUUGUGCCACUGUACUCCAGGCUGAGCAGCAGAGCAAGAUUCCGUCUCUGAAACAAAAAGUUAUUCUUGAGAUAAGUAACUUCUUUUCAAAAUUCUAAGUCUUUAAAAUAUCGUGUAUAUUUUACACAUACAGUACAUUUCAAUUUUGACUGACCACAUUUCAAGUGCUAUUACCACCAUAUUGGAAAGAGCAGUUUUAGAUCGAGGGCUUUCAGUCCUGGGCUGGAGUUGGGCUUCUCUACCUUAUUUGACAAAUGGCGUUAGACAAUUUAUUUAACUUUUUUUUUUUUUUUGAGAUGGAGUCUCACUCUGUCACCCAGGCUAGAGUGCAAUGGUGUGAUCUCAGCUCACUGCAACUUCUGCAUCCUGGGUUCAAGUGAUUCUCCUGCCUCAGCCUUCUGAGUAGCUGGGAUUACAGGUGCCCACAACUACACCCAGCUAAUUUUUGUAUUUUUAGUAGAGACAGGGUUUCACCAUGUUGGUCAGGCUGGUUGCAAACUCCUGAUCUCGUGAUCUGCCUGCCUUGGCCUCCCAAAGUGCUGGGAUUACAGGCAUGAGCCACUGUGCCCGGCGUAUUUACCUUUUUAAAUCCUGGGCUUCUUGUAUUUAAAAUGAAGGUAAUAGAAGCAUCUACUUCAAAGUGUUGUCAUGAUGCCUGAAUAAUCCAAUAUGUAAAGUAUGUAUACUUCAUGGUGGAGAGCAC